This 688-nucleotide ribosomal RNA is filed under the name uncultured beta proteobacterium. RNAcentral's name for it is "bacterial SSU rRNA". It matches the Rfam family "Bacterial small subunit ribosomal RNA", at positions 33 to 713 of the family's 1533-position model. The record is from RNAcentral. Lineage: Bacteria; Pseudomonadati; Pseudomonadota; Betaproteobacteria.
ACGCUGGCGGCAUGCCUUACACAUGCAAGUCGAACGGCAGCACGGGAGCAAUCCUGGUGGCGAGUGGCGAACGGGUGAGUAAUAUAUCGGAACGUGCCCAGKCGUGGGGGAUAACGUAGCGAAAGCUACGCUAAUACCGCACACKAUCUACGGAUGAAAGCGGGGGACUCGCAAGAGCCUCGCGCGAUUGGAGCGGCCGAUAUCANAUUAGGUUGUUGGUGAGGUAAAAGCUCACCAAGCCUGCGAUCUGUAGCUGGUCUGAGAGGACGACCAGCCACACUGGAACUGAGACACGGUCCAGACUCCUACGGGAGGCAGCAGUGGGGAAUUUUGGACAAUGGACGAAAGUCUGAUCCAGCAAUGCCGCGUGCAGGACGAAGGCCUUCGGGUUGUAAACUGCUUUUGUACGGAACGAAACGGUCUUCUUUAAUACAGAGGGCUAAUGACGGUACCGUAAGAAUAAGCACCGGCUAACUACGUGCCAGCAGCCGUGGUAAUACGUAGGGUGCGAGCGUUAAUCGGAAUUACUGGGCCGUAAAGCGUGCGCAGGCGGUUAUAUAAGACAGAUGUGAAAUCCCCGGGCUCAACCUGGGACCUGCAUUUGUGACUGUAUAGCUAGAGUACGGUAGAGGGGGAUGGAAUUCCGCGUGUAGCAGUGAAAUGCGUAGAUAUGCGGAGGAACACCGAU